Molecule: long non-coding RNA, 3061 nt
Organism: Equus caballus (horse)
Lineage: Eukaryota; Metazoa; Chordata; Mammalia; Perissodactyla; Equidae
Source: Ensembl
CCCGCGCGCCCGCUCCGCCGCGCCGCCCCGCCCCGCUGGGCCCGGCGUGGGCAGGGCGUCCAGAGCGGGUGUCUGCCGGAGGGGCGGCGGACCCUCGGUCCACAGGGAAAAGGAGGGGACUGUGAAGACUGGAGAAGGCACGAGGGUCCCCGCCCCCCAACCCUGAGCACCCUUUCUGGAUGCGGAGCCCCUGCUGCCGUAGUCCCAAUUCCUGCUUGGCCCACGGUGGGAGUGGGCGCUCCUCUUCCGCCGGUUGUUUCCCUUGUCUUCUCACUACCUCCCUCCACCCGGGCCCCCCUCAGGCCUUGCGCCCGAAUUUGGACCUAGAGACAGGAUCCGAGAGGAACAGGCUGUGUUUCAGCUGGCGGGCUGUGCAGACCCGCCAGCGCGUCGGAAAGCUCCAAGUCUGGGCCCUGGCUCCUGAGCACCCUUCAGGGUCUGGACGGGACUCAUGCCUGUUUGUGCAUCAGAACACUGUUAGGCCUGAGAAGCCAAGAAAGAAGUAGAGGCCCCAGGAAGGGAAAGGAGGAAACUCCCGGCAGAGGAGCUGUCAGGAAAGUCAGCGCAGCAGGCCUGGCUCCACGGGCUCCGCUUGGGUGAUUUCUGAGCUGGGGGACCCUUCUUUAAGGGAUCAUCAGGUGAAAAACACGUACAGCUUGGAAAGAUGGGCAUCCCAGGUGCUCUGUGAAACGGUGGGAGUGCAAGCGGGCAUGCCCAUGUGAAAACAAGAUCGUGUCGGGUGGGUCCUGAGGCCCAGGCACUGGAGGAGACACAUCUCCCUGUGUCCUGCCACUGAAUGUCCCAUGUCUGGACAGCCCUGAAGUGCGCUGUGACCUCCAACAGGGUAUGUACCUCCCGGCAGUAACCAGUCUUGAGUCGGACCCUGACGUGGGAGCUCUGUGUCGGCUAACUCAGAAUCAUCCUCACUCCGUCGGUGGUUCAGUUUUCACGCCCCUACAGGGAGUGGGGGGGAGUGGUGUGCAGGGUCAGGCACAGGUGGGAGCUGUGGCACAGCAUUCCGCCCAGGCCCUGCGCCCCCACCUGUGUAGCAUUCCCCGAACUUGUCUGACGGAGGAAGCCCUUUACGCAGCACACAGCGUCUUACAGGAACUCCCGUUUUCAGGAAGAUGGUUUCAGCAGCGCUGCAGUGACUGAUGCGAGCCCAGCAGAGAGCAUUGGUUUAUCAGACUUGCUGUGAAUGGAGCGGUGAGCAUACAUUGAGAGGAGGGGAAAAUGUGAUCUAAAACACAAGGCAGUAGAUUUCAAAGGAUAGUCUGCAGCCUUGUCACUCGGAGUGUGGUCCCCAGACCAGCAGCAUCGACACCCCUAAGGAGCUUGUUAAAAAUGCAGAGCCUCAGAGCACACCCCACGCCUACCUUACGUGCGGGCACCUGCAUCUUGACCGACUCCCCCUUCGCUCCACCUCUGUCCUCGGGGCAUCUGCCUCAGAAUCCUAGGGAGGCUCCUGAACUAUGCAGAGUCCUGGUUUCUGCCUGAGGCCUGCUGACGUGGAGCUUGGAGAAUGGGGCCUGGGACCUGGCCUUGUAACAAUGUCUUGGGGUGACGUUCACGCACACUAGCGUUUGAGAACCACUGGCCUGUCCCACAGGCAACAAGCAGCUCCCGGGAGCCUCCUAAAAAUGCUACUUCCUGGGCCGCCCCUGGAUCUACUGAGUCUGGGCGUCUAGGGGCCGAGCCUGGGAAUCAGCACGAGGAUGAUGGUGAAACGGACACAGCUGCCCUGAGGCGGGACUCCAGCCAGCUCUGCUCUGCCCAGCAUCCUGGGGCUAUGCCCACUGGGAGGAGGAGCUGUGAUCUCCGCCCCUGGAUCAAGAGCCCUAGAGAAAAGUGUGCUUUUGUUUCUAGGAGAGAUUAAGAAAAUGCAUUUGGGAGGGUAGCCUAUGAGUGGCUGUUUGCUCUCGACACCUGUAAACUGUUGACUGUAAUUGGACCACAGAUGUUCCCUGAGCCUGAUAGCUUUCUCUCCUCCGGCCGUGGAGGGGAGUCUGGGGAGGGGUUCUUCUCUAGUAGGAAAUUGAAUGAUUGUAUUGGGGCUGCAUUUCCUUGCCUUCCUCUGAUUUAAUCUGUUUUUCUCCAUUUAUCAUUAUUAUUUUCGACACUUCAGUGUUAGACAAAAAGCUGUUUUGUAAAGAAAGCAGGGGGAUGUUAGCAAAAGGUGUGUUCAUAGAAUCAAACAGAAUCUUUGUGGGCAAAUGAAGGUAUUCAAAGUCCUGCAGAAAUGGAUGAAAUCCUCCUGCCCUCCAGCUCAAGGAGACCUCCCAGCGUGGAACAGAGAAGAGCAAUCUCACAGGAGAAAGCAGGAGAGAGCAUCUCUCAAGUCCAUCCCCUCCCCUCCAGCUACCCAUCGGAGCCCCAUCAUCUCUCACCUGGAUCCCUGCGCAGCCUCACUCCUCUCCCUGCAAACCCGGCCCCACGGGGACCACUGAAACUUGCAUCAGAGAACAUCACGUGAUGCCCUGCUUCAAGCCCUCAGGCUGGACCCUCUCGGAACCUCGAUGCUCUCUCCAUGGCCCACAGGUCCUGUGCCAUCUGGCCCCUCCGCCCCCUCCCCCUCGCUCUGCCCUUGCUAUCUGGAGCAUUCUGCCCCAGGUCUAGGCAAGGCCGACUGCUGCUCAGAGAUGCCCUGCAGGGCCCCCAGCAAGGCUGCUCGCCCACCUCUCCUCAGCCAGGACCUUUCACACCUAUCACAUCCCUCUGGUUCUGUCUGUCUGAUGUCUGCAGUGCAGCAGGGGCCUCUCUGCCCGGCCCCCUGCCCUCUCCCCAGCUCCCGGAUGGUGCCGGCCCAGGCUCAGCAAACAUCUGAAUAAAUGAAUGUCUGAGUGGAUGACUGGGAAAGCUGGGAGAGAAGGCGACCAGCUCUCAGCCCAAAUUCCUAGAGCCGAUCCCUCAGAGCAAGAUUCCUCCCACAGGAAAUGGACCAGAACUGGAUCUCAGGCUGCACACAGCAGAGGAUUCGGGAACUGGCAAGGAUGAAGCACUCUGCAUUUAUAAAUAGUCUCCUUCUUUUUGGGAUUUCAAUGACUAUUAUGAUUGUCCUCUC